This 467-nucleotide ribosomal RNA is filed under the name uncultured bacterium. RNAcentral's name for it is "partial 16S ribosomal RNA". It matches the Rfam family "Bacterial small subunit ribosomal RNA", at positions 30 to 523 of the family's 1533-position model. The record is from RNAcentral.
AUUGAACGCUGGCGGCAGGCCUAACACAUGCAAGUCGAGCGGCAGCGCGAGUAGUUUACUACUUGGCGGCGAGCGGCGGACGGCUGAGUAACGCGUGGGAACGUGCCCCAAAGUGAGGGAUAACUGCCCGAAAGGGCGGCUAAUACCGCAUAUGAUCUUCGGAUUAAAGGGUUUAUCCGCUUUGGGAGCGGCCCGCGUUAGAUUAGGUAGUUGGUGAGGUAAUGGCUCACCAAGCCGACGAUCUAUAGCUGGUCUGAGAGGAUGAUCAGCCAGACUGGAACUGAGACACGGUCCAGACUCCUACGGGAGGCAGCAGUGAGGAAUCUUCCACAAUGGGCGAAAGCCUGAUGGAGCAACGCCGCGUGAAGGAUGAAGGCCCUAGGGUUGUAAACUUCUUUUAUAAGUGAAGAAUAUGACGGUAACUUAUGAAUAAGCACCGGCUAACUACGUGCCAGCAGCCGCCGUAA